RNAcentral lists this long non-coding RNA (204 nucleotides) under Manihot esculenta (cassava). Its description in RNAcentral is "long non-coding RNA (MESC_LNC009224)". The record is from RNAcentral. Lineage: Eukaryota; Viridiplantae; Streptophyta; Magnoliopsida; Malpighiales; Euphorbiaceae.
UCUCCUUAUGAUUAAACCAAUUAGGGAACGUCCUCUAAUUAAUUACUAAUCAACAAAUUGCCAAGGAACGUCCUUGGGCCUUAGGCAUCAAAACAAGUGUCAAUUGCAUUAAGAAAUAGAGAGAUCCAAUCCUAGCUACCCAAACGUAUGGAGAUAACGCUAGAUCAAACAAUUUCCUUGGGUUUUAUUCCAAGUGUUCUCAUG